GUAAACUCAAAGGAAAAUCUAAAAAGUUGAUUGAAAUAUGUCCAUCAUCGAAUACGACGCUGGUGGUAUCCUAUACUAACAUAGAAGAAAUGUCGCAUCCGCUUGCAACGGAUAGGCUCUUUGCCACGAAGGAAAGGAUGCCAUAUUGAAUUUCCUGCUAGCUUUGUGAAAGAUUUUCUAAAUGUUCAAUCAGACGAUGUUUGAAA
This 206-nucleotide unclassified non-coding RNA is filed under the name Hevea brasiliensis (rubber tree). The record is from RNAcentral. Lineage: Eukaryota; Viridiplantae; Streptophyta; Magnoliopsida; Malpighiales; Euphorbiaceae.